AUGAAAUAAGACACUGUUUUAACUGUUCUCAGAAAGCUGAUCGUAUUGAGUAUAUAUGUUCAAGAUAAUUGAGCAAAAGCAGGAACAUGAGUAUUUUGUAGGAUAAAAUCACGGUACAAUGAUUACACAAAUGAUUCACUCAGCUGUAGCUGCUGCAGUACUGUUAUCACAAUGUACAAACACUCUGAAAACUAAACUACAGAAAUUUGAAAAUGAGAAAAAUACAUGCAUUAUAAGUGGAACACAGAUUGAAACAUUUUUUGCAAGAACAGUACGCGAAUGUGCAAGCUUGUGUGCCAUCGAUGAUAACUGCUACUCUGCUAACUUUAAAUCCGUUUCAGGACAGUGCCAUUUUUACUCCACUUUCUAUCCGAACACGGACCCCCUUUUCGGAUAUGAAACCAUCAGAAAGAUCCCAGUUACAGGAACAAGCCAGACAGAGUUAUUGUCUACUCCAUCUGUAGACGUAAAAACAAUUGAAUCAACUCAUCAGGUGACCAGUAUUUCUACAAUUGAAGGAACAAGCCAGACAAAUUUAUUGUCUACUUCGUCAGCAGAAGUAACAACAAUUGGACCAACUAAUCAUGUGACCAGUACUUCUCCAA
Mytilus californianus (California mussel) is the source of this 605-nucleotide long non-coding RNA. RefSeq lists it as uncharacterized. NCBI's taxonomy places the organism in Eukaryota, Metazoa, Mollusca, Bivalvia, Mytilida, Mytilidae. The transcript is spliced from 3 exons. The record is from RefSeq and is a predicted model, not a curated record.